RNAcentral lists this long non-coding RNA (856 nucleotides) under Anolis carolinensis (green anole). Its description in RNAcentral is "lncRNA (ENSACAG00000034949.1)". The record is from RNAcentral. Lineage: Eukaryota; Metazoa; Chordata; Lepidosauria; Squamata; Anolidae.
CUUAUCUCUGUCACCAAAUGCGACUCCCAUUGAAAUGGUCAACCUUCUAAGCAUCCUUUUUUCUGCACUGGCACUCACUGCAUUGACCAGAGCUGGGAUAGCAAAACCCAUUUAAGCCCAUUAUUGCUUGCCCCACUACAUUCCUUUCCAAUUGCACCACUCUCAUGGAUGGAUCAAUAAACAGACACAAUCUUCAAAAUAAUCCAGUGACAGUUUAUGGAACUUUCCUCCCAUGGCAGGGACCAAGCAUUGAUGAUGUCAGACAGAGUCCCAGACCAACCAGGGAAUGAAUCCUAGUUGAGCACUUCCUGGACCAAUCAGGAGACAGCACAGUAGUCUUGAAUAGCUGUCAAAAUACAAUAAGUAUCCUAUGUAUUCGCAAUUGCAGUAUGUCAGUUCUUUAGAGUGCUAUCUCAGCUGACAUCCCCUUUGGUCAUUCAGAAUAAAUCCUCUCAUUUUGCCUUCAACUUGUCUGUUUCCCAUCUAGCCUUCUGGAGAGCUUGAAACGCUGGGCUCUGAACCUGUGGUUCUUGCUGAAAUCACAUAACACCUUGAAGAUGACUAAACUGAGACUCUUGUGCUUUGGAUGUAUCUUGCAAAAAUAUUACUUGCUUGAAAAGAAAAUAAGGUUGGCAGAAGCUGGCGCUAACAGCGGGCGCUCACUCCGGUCCCCGGAUUUGAACCUGCAACAUUAGUUCAUGUUAAAUUCUACACCUGCUGAAAUUCAACCUUCCAUUCCAAGCAUUCAACCUACUGCUCUUCCCUCUUCCAUUUAGGUAAGUAUAUUCCAUUAUCUCGCAUGUAUGAGAGUAGCAUCUUUAUAAGCAGUUACCAUACAACCCAGAGUUAUUUAUUU